RNAcentral lists this ribosomal RNA (230 nucleotides) under uncultured bacterium. RNAcentral's name for it is "partial 16S ribosomal RNA". It matches the Rfam family "Bacterial small subunit ribosomal RNA", at positions 334 to 581 of the family's 1533-position model. The record is from RNAcentral.
GUGACCUACGGGGCGCAGCAGUGGGGAAUAUUGCACAAUGGGGGAAACCCUGAUGCAGCGACGCCGCGUGAGUGAAGAAGUAUUUCGGUAUGUAAAGCUCUAUCAGCAGGGAAGAAAAUGACGGUACCUGACUAAGAAGCCCCGGCUAACUACUUGCCAGCAGCCGCGGUAAUACGUAGGGGGCAAGCGUUAUCCGGAUUUACUGGGUGUAAAGGGAGCGCAGACGGCUG